Molecule: ribosomal RNA, 787 nt
Filed under: uncultured Bacillota bacterium
Lineage: Bacteria; Bacillati; Bacillota
Description: bacterial SSU rRNA
Rfam family: Bacterial small subunit ribosomal RNA
Source: RNAcentral
UGGAGCAAUCCAUGAGUAAAGUGGCGUACGGGUGAGUAACACGUGGGUAAUCUACCUCUUGGUGGGGAAUAACCCUGGGAAACCGGGGCUAAUACCGCAUAAGCUCGGAAGAGGAAGCCCGAAAGGGGCCGAGAGAGGAGCCCGCGGCCGAUUAGCUAGUUGGUGAGGUAAGAGCUCACCAAGGCGAUGAUCGGUAGCCGGCCUGAGAGGGCACACGGCCACACUGGCACUGAAACACGGGCCAGACUCCUACGGGAGGCAGCAGUGGGGAAUCUUGCACAAUGGGGGCAACCCUGAUGCAGCGACGCCGCGUGAGCGAUGAAGCCCUUCGGGGUGUAAAGCUCUUUCGGCCGGAACGAUAAUGACGGUACCGGCAGAAGAAGCUGCGGCUAACUACGUGCCAGCAGCCGCGGUAAUACGUAGGCAGCGAGCGUUGUUCGGAGUUACUGGGCGUAAAGAGUGCGUAGGCGGUGCUCUAAGUUUGGUGUGAAAUCUCCCGGCUCAACUGGGAGGGUGCGCCGAAAACUGGAGUGCUCGAGUAUGGGAGAGGUAAGCGGAAUUCCUGGUGUAGCGGUGAAAUGCGUAGAUAUCAGGAGGAACACCUGCGGUGUAGACGGCUUACUGGACCAUGACUGACGCUGAGGCACGAAAGCGUGGGGAGCAAACAGGAUUAGAUACCCUGGUAGUCCACGCCCUAAACGAUGCAUACUUGGUGUGAGCGAUUCAUUUCGUUCGUGCCGGAGCUAACGCGUUAAGUAUGCCGCCUGGGGAGUACGGUCGCAAGGCU